This 72-nucleotide transfer RNA is filed under the name Capra hircus (goat). It matches the Rfam family "tRNA". From Rfam's summary of the family: Transfer RNA (tRNA) molecules are approximately 80 nucleotides in length. Their secondary structure includes four short double-helical elements and three loops (D, anti-codon, and T loops). RNAcentral also lists the same sequence under 1 other name. The record is from Rfam by way of RNAcentral. Lineage: Eukaryota; Metazoa; Chordata; Mammalia; Artiodactyla; Bovidae.
UCCUUGGCAGUCUAGUGGUUAGGACUCAGCGCUUUCACUGCUGUGGCCCAGGUUCAAACCCUGGUGGGGGAA